Molecule: ribosomal RNA, 971 nt
Filed under: Neobacillus sp.
Lineage: Bacteria; Bacillati; Bacillota; Bacilli; Caryophanales; Bacillaceae
Description: bacterial SSU rRNA
Rfam family: Bacterial small subunit ribosomal RNA
Source: RNAcentral
UGCAGUCGAGCGAAUCUUUAGGAGCUUGCUCCUAAUGGUUAGCGGCGGACGGGUGAGUAACACGUGGGCAACCUGCCUGUAAGACUGGGAUAACUUCGGGAAACCGGAGCUAAUACCGGAUAAUCCUUUUCCUCUCAUGAGGGGAAGCUGAAAGACGGUUUCGGCUGUCACUUACAGAUGGGCCCGCGGCGCAUUAGCUAGUUGGUGAGGUAACGGCUCACCAAGGCGACGAUGCGUAGCCGACCUGAGAGGGUGAUCGGCCACACUGGGACUGAGACACGGCCCAGACUCCUACGGGAGGCAGCAGUAGGGAAUCUUCCACAAUGGACGAAAGUCUGAUGGAGCAACGCCGCGUGAGCGAUGAAGGCCUUCGGGUCGUAAAGCUCUGUUGUUAGGGAAGAACAAGUAUCGGAGUAACUGCCGGUACCUUGACGGUACCUAACCAGAAAGCCACGGCUAACUACGUGCCAGCAGCCGCGGUAAUACGUAGGUGGCAAGCGUUGUCCGGAAUUAUUGGGCGUAAAGCGCGCGCAGGCGGUCCUUUAAGUCUGAUGUGAAAGCCCACGGCUCAACCGUGGAGGGUCAUUGGAAACUGAGGGACUUGAGUACAGAAGAGGAAAGCGGAAUUCCACGUGUAGCGGUGAAAUGCGUAGAGAUGUGGAGGAACACCAGUGGCGAAGGCGGCUUUCUGGUCUGUAACUGACGCUGAGGCGCGAAAGCGUGGGGGAGCAAACAGGAUUAGAUACCCCUGGUAGUCCACGCCCGUAAACGAUGAGUGCUAAGUGUUAGGGGGGUUUCCGGCCCCUUAAUUGUUGCAGCUAAACGCAUUAAGCACUCCCGCCUGGGGGAGUACGGGCCGCAAAGGUUGAAACUCCAAGGGAAUUUGACGGGGGGCCCCGACCAAGCGGGUGGAACCAUGGUGGGUUUAAUUUCCGAACCAACCCGGAAAAAACCUUUACCAAGGGCUUUGA